Molecule: long non-coding RNA, 1308 nt
Filed under: Felis catus (domestic cat)
Lineage: Eukaryota; Metazoa; Chordata; Mammalia; Carnivora; Felidae
Description: lncRNA (ENSFCAG00000051129.1)
Source: RNAcentral
AUGUUUUCAUACUCUUAUUUCUUACAGAAAGGAAUUCCAACAACUAGACACACACACACACAACACCACCACCACCAUCACCACCACCACCAUCACCACCACCACCAUCACCACCACCACCAUCACCACCACCACCAUCACCACCACCACCAUCACCACCACCACCAUCACCACCACCACCAUCACCACCACCACCAUCACCACCACCACCAUCACCACCACCACCAUCACCACCACCACCAUCACCACCACCACCAUCACCACCACCACCAUCACCACCACCACCAUCACCACCACCACCAUCACCACCACCACCAUCACCACCACCACCAUCACCACCACCACCAUCACCACCACCACCAUCACCACCACCACCAUCACCACCACCACCAUCACCACCACCACCAUCACCACCACCACCAUCACCACCACCACCAUCACCACCACCACCAUCACCACCACCACCAUCACCACCACCACCAUCACCACCACCACCAUCACCACCACCACCAUCACCACCACCACCAUCACCACCACCACCAUCACCACCACCACCAUCACCACCACCACCAUCACCACCACCACCAUCACCACCACCACCAUCACCACCACCACCAUCACCACCACCACCAUCACCACCACCACCAUCACCACCACCACCAUCACCACCACCACCAUCACCACCACCACCAUCACCACCACCACCAUCACCACCACCACCAUCACCACCACCACCAUCACCACCACCACCAUCACCACCACCACCAUCACCACCACCACCAUCACCACCACCACCAUCACCACCACCACCAUCACCACCACCACCAUCACCACCACCACCAUCACCACCACCACCAUCACCACCACCACCAUCACCACCACCACCACCACCACCACCACCAUCACCACCACCACCAUCACCACCACCACCAUCACCACCACCACCAUCACCACCACCACCAUCACCACCACCACCAUCACCACCACCACCAUCACCACCACCACCAUCACCACCACCACCAUCACCACCACCACCAUCACCACCACCACCAUCACCACCACCACCAUCACCACCACCACCAUCACCACCACCACCAUCACCACCACCACCAUCACCACCACCACCAUCACCACCACCACCAUCACCACCACCACCAUCACCACCACCACCAUCACCACCACCACCAUCACCACCACCACCAUCACCACCACCACCAUCACCACCACCACCAUCACCACCACCACCAUCACCACCACCACCAUCACCACCACCACCCAGCCAUUGCCAGCAGAGUCUGGACACUCUGA